This 65-nucleotide transfer RNA is filed under the name Caudoviricetes sp. RNAcentral describes it as "tRNA-Gln". It matches the Rfam family "tRNA". From Rfam's summary of the family: Transfer RNA (tRNA) molecules are approximately 80 nucleotides in length. Their secondary structure includes four short double-helical elements and three loops (D, anti-codon, and T loops). The record is from RNAcentral. Lineage: Duplodnaviria; Heunggongvirae; Uroviricota; Caudoviricetes.
CGGAACAUAGCUCAGUUGGAAGAGCAGCGUUGUGCUAGGCGUAGGUUCGAGUCCUACUUUCUCGA